Long non-coding RNA from Ictidomys tridecemlineatus (thirteen-lined ground squirrel), 787 nucleotides. RefSeq lists it as uncharacterized. NCBI's taxonomy places the organism in Eukaryota, Metazoa, Chordata, Mammalia, Rodentia, Sciuridae. The record is from RefSeq and is a predicted model, not a curated record.
CCAGGUGGCAGCUUUCCUGUCUGUAAAAUGGAAAGGAGAAAACUUGCAUCUCACGGUGUUACAAGCUUAGAGCCAGCCAGGUUUCCCUCCCCACUCCCCAGGGUCCCAGGCCUUCUCACCAGCCCCAGAUACAGGAAGACUCAAGUUUGUGUCGUGUCCAGGCUAGGGAUGGUGAGGACAGAUGACAUCAGAGCAGGCAUGCUGCUAUGGGCCUUGAGAUAGGGACCAGGAAAUCCUAAGAAACAGAGGAAGAGGACUUCUGACCUUCAACUUCAAUCUCUUUUCUUUGCAGCUAGGAAAACUGAAGCUUAAGAGAGAGUCACAGCUAUUGUCUGAGUGUUAUUUGGACACUAGUUUGUCCUGCAGCCUGGGAAGGGACUGUGACAGAGACCAGCCAGGUACUCAGGCUCUGAACUUCCCAGAGAAUGUCUCUCUACCUGAGAGGAAGGGGUCAUGCUCAUGGACCUGGAGGAAAGUGUGGCUACAGAAGCAAGGGAAGCAAGACUGGCCUUCUUCCCAUCCUAGGCCAAGUUAUCUGUCCUUGAACUCACAGACCUCAAAAAUGAAAGAGUCCAGACUUGGGAGUCUGCACCUGUAGAAGCAAGGCUGUCUCAUGAGAAUACAAAUGAAUCUCCAGUCCCACACUGCAGAGCUGAAGUUGAGCCUUUGAAUCACCUCUUUAAAAGCCUACUGUUCCCCCUGACAGAAUCAUAGCCUCUGGGAUAGAAGUCCCCUCUGUCUCCUUUGCUAGCAAAGCAAUAAAAUAUUUUUUUUCUUUUUCUCAAAA